Molecule: long non-coding RNA, 502 nt
Filed under: Homo sapiens (human)
Lineage: Eukaryota; Metazoa; Chordata; Mammalia; Primates; Hominidae
Description: non-protein coding lnc-RPS4Y1-10:1
Source: RNAcentral
AUGGAGAGCGGCGACUAGGCGGCUAUGGAGAGGUACAGCGUCCAGUUGCGCCCAGCCACACUGCAGGACGCCGCCCCCGCCACACUACACCUGAUACCCUGCGGCCCACCACGGUGUGGCGCUUCAUCACGCCUGCCAUCCGCCAGGGCCCCGAGGGACUCUUAAGUGUAGUUUCGGGGCCGCAGUCUACGGGGCGACGAGGUGGCAGUGCCGUCCGGCCUCGUGGGAUACGUGAUGGUGACUGAACAGGAGGAGGUGUCGAUGGGGAAGCCAGACCCCUGGCGGGGUUCCGGGAGUGACAACCAAGAAGAGGAACCUCUGGAGCGGGACUUUGACCGCUUCCUCGGAACCACUACCAGCUUCAGCCGCUUCACCCUGUAGGGCAUGGGGCUUCACCCUGUGGGGCACCCUGUGGGGCUUCCUUGGCCCGGAAGCCAAACUGCGUGGGGCCUUAACUUGGCCCAGCCUCGCGGCAACGAUUCACGCGCAGGUGCCCAAGGAC